GAUGAACGCUGGCGGCGUGCCUAAUACAUGCAAGUCGAGCGAACAGACGAGGAGCUUGCUCCUCUGACGUUAGCGGCGGACGGGUGAGUAACACGUGGAUAACCUACCUAUAAGACUGGGAUAACUUCGGGAAACCGGAGCUAAUACCGGAUAAUAUCUUUAACCGCAUGGUUCAAUAGUGAAAGACGGUUUUGCUGUCACUUAUAGAUGGAUCCGCUCCGCAUUAGCUAGUUGGUAAGGUAACGCCUUACCAAGGCAACGAUGCGUAGCCGACCUGAGAGGGUGAUCGGCCACACUGGAACUGAGACCCGGUCCAGACUCCUACGGGAGGCAGCAGUAGGGAAUCUUCCGCAAUGGGCGAAAGCCUGACGGAGCAACGCCGCGUGAGUGAUGAAGGUCUUCGGAUCGUAAAACUCUGUUAUUAGGGAAGAACAAAUGUGUAAGUAACUAUGCACGUCUUGACGGUACCUACUCAGAAAGCCACGGCUAACUACGUG
Molecule: ribosomal RNA, 497 nt
Filed under: uncultured bacterium
Lineage: Bacteria
Description: partial 16S ribosomal RNA
Rfam family: Bacterial small subunit ribosomal RNA
Source: RNAcentral